CGGCGGCCUGUGUGUGUUUUAGGACGUGCGUCGCGCAAAGACCCGGAAGCUGCCGGGAGCGCGGAGACUGCAGCGGGUGGAACAGACACAGGAUCGUGUUCUGCCACCCAGAGUCAUUUUUUGGAUUUUUAGUAGAAACGGGGGUUUCACCGUGUUGGCCAGGCUGGUCUCGAACUCGUGACCUCAGGCGAUCCGCCCACCUCGGCCCCCAGAAGUGCUGGGAUUACAGGCGUGAGCAGGUGCACCCGGCUAAGAGCCGCUAAUUCCUACGUCCCCCUGUGUUGGGGGCGCAAGGUGGGUUUGCCGUUCGGAGUCUGCUGAGGUUGGUUCCCAGGGUUCGCCUGUGAUGGAUGGGCCGGCGAGCGCUUCCAGGGCCGUCUCGGGAGUGGGCUGCACAAACACGAACGAGGACUGGAUGUCGGCGCUGUGUCCCCGGCUCUGGGACGUGCCCCUCCACCACCUCUCCAUCCCAGGGAGCCAUGACACCAUGACCUACUGCCUCAACAAGAAGUCACCCAUUUCCCAGGGGGAGUCCCGGCUGCUGCAGAUGCUCAACAGGUGGAUCCCCUGCAUCACGCGCCCCGUGGUGCUGAAAUGGUCCGUCACCCAGGUGCUGGACGUCACGGAGCAGCUGGACGCCGGCGUGCGGUACCUAGACCUGCGGAUUGCCCACAUGCUGGACGGCUCGGAGAAGAACCUGCAUUUCGUUCAUAUGGUCUACACCACGGCCCUCGUGGAGGACACGCUCACGGAGAUCUCAGAGUGGCUCGAGCGACAUCCUCGCGAGGUGGUCAUCCUGGCCUGCAGAAACUUCGAGGGGCUGAGCGAGGACCUGCACGAGUACCUCAUCUCCUGCAUCAACACCAUCUUCGGGGAGAUGCUGUGUCCCCGCGGGGAGGUGCCGACGCUGAGGCAGCUGUGGGCGCGCGGCCAGCAGGUCAUCGUGUCCUAUGAGGACGAGAGCGCCCUGGGCCGGCACCGGGAGCUAUGGCCGGGAAUCCCCUACUGGUGGGGGGACCAGGUGAAGCCCGACGCCCUCAUCCGAUACCUGGAGACCAUGAAGAGCUGUGGCCGUCCAGAGACGGGGUUUCACCAUGUUGGCCAGGCUGGUCUUGAACUCCUGACCUCAGAUGGUCUGCCCGCCUCAGCCUCCCAAGGUGCUGGGAUUACAAGCGUGAGCCACGACGCCCGGCCUAGAAAAAAGUCUUAAAAGCCACUGAGAGAACGUGGCCUUAACCUUCUGCUGUCUUCUGGGCUUGGACUGAGCACAACUGGACAACACAGGGGCACGGGAACCUGCCUACCCCUGGGGGGGCUCCUUCCAGGACAGCCUGCAGCCCUCCUCGCCCUGCCCUGCAGAGAUUCUGCCUCAGCAGAUCUAAGUGGACCCUCAAAAAUGUGCAUUUCUCAUUAUGCAGGGACCCCAUUUCCACAAUCACUGGUCGGUGUCAACACUAUAAGCCUCAUGACAAAUGGCACAGACUGUGCCGAAGGCAACAGCGUUCUUCUCUGUCUCCCACACGGGGAUUAGGACGUGGACGUCUUUGGGGCCAUUAUUCUGUCUCCCAUAUGGGGAUUAGGAUGGGCACGUCUUUGGGGCCAUUAUUGUGUCUCCCACAUGGGGAUCACGACGUGGACGUCUUUGUGGCCAUUACUGUGUCUCCCACAUGUGGAUUAGGACGUGGACGUCUUUGGGGCCAUUAUUGUGUCUCCCACAUAUGGAUCACGACGUGGACGUCUUUGGGGCCAUUACUGUGUCUCCCACAUGUGGAUUAGGAUGUGGACGUCUUUGGGGCCAUUAUUGUGUCUCCCACACGGGGAUUAGAAUGUGGACGUCUUUGGGGCCAUUAUUCUGUCUCCCACAUGUGGAUUAGGACGUGGGCGUCUUUGGGGCCAUUAUUCUGUCUCCCACACGGGGAUCAGGACGUGGAUGUCUUAGGGGCCAUUCUUCUGUCUCCCACAUGGGGAUCAGGAUGUGGGCAUCUUUGGGGCCAUUAUUCUGUCUCCCACAUGGGAUCACGACGUGGGCAUCUUUGGGGCCAUUAUUGUGUCUCCCACAUGGGGAUUAGGACGUGGAUGUCUUAGGGGCCAUUAUUGUGUCUCCCACAUGGGGAUCAGGACGUGGGCAUCUUUGGGGCCAUUAUUCUGUCUCCCACACGGGGAUUAGGACGUGGACGUCUUUGGGGCCAUUAUUCUGUCUCCCACAUGGGGAUCAGGAUGUGGGCAUCUUUGGGGCCAUUAUUGUGUCUCCCACACGGGGAUCAGGAUGUGGGCAUCUUUGGGGUCAUUAUUGUGUCUCCCACAUGGGGAUUAGGACGUGGACGUCUGGGGCCAUUAUUCUGUCUCCCACAUGGGGAUUAGGAUGUGGACGUCUUUGGGGCCAUUACUGUGUCUCCCACAUGUGGAUUAGGACGUGGACGUCUUUGGGGCAUUAUUCUGUCUCCCACACGGGGAUUAGAAUGUGGACGUCUUUGGGGCCAUUAUUCUGUCUCCCACAUGUGGAUUAGGACGUGGGCAUCUUUGGGGCCAUUAUUCUGUCUCCCACACGGGGAUUAGGACGUGGACGUCUUUGGGGCCAUUAUUCUGUCUCCCACAUGGGAAUCAGGACGUGGGCAUCUUUGGGGCCAUUAUUCUGUCUCCCACAUGUGGAUUAGGACGUGGGCAUCUUUGGGGCCAUUAUUCUGUCUCCCACAUGUGGAUUAGGACGUGGGCAUCUUUGGGGCCAUUAUUGUGUCUCCCACAUGGGGAUUAGGAUGUGGGCAUCUUUGGGGUCAUUAUUGUGUCUCCCACAUGGGAAUCAGGACGUGGGCGUCUUUGGGGCCAUUAUUCUGUCUCCCACAUGGGAAUCAGGACGUGGGCGUCUUUGGGGUCAUUAUUCUGUCUCCCACAUGGGAAUCAGGACGUGGGCAUCUUUGGGGCCAUUAUUCUGUCUCCCACAUGGGGAUCAGGACGUGGGCGUCUUUGGGGUCAUUAUUCUGUCUCCCACAUGGGGAUCAGGACGUGGGCGUCUUUGGGGCCAUUAUUCUGUCUCCCACAUGGGGAUCAGGAUGUGGGCAUCUUUGGGGCCAUUAUUGUGUCUCCGACAUGGGGAUCACGACGUGGGCAUCUUUGGGGUCAUUAUUCUGUCUCCCACAUGGGGAUCAGGACGUGGGCAUCUUUGUGGCCAUAAUUACUGAGAAUUGAACCUCUAACCAUGUGAGUAAGAGGGGCAAACGGGCGGGUGGAGGCAGGUGGCCGUGUGACGUCUCCCUCACCCCACUGUGCUAGGAGGGCUGUUUGUGGCCGGCAUCAACCUGACUGAGAACCUGCCGUACAUCCUGGCGCACCCGUCGGAGUCCCUGCAGAAGCUGACGACGCCCAACCUGCCGCGCCUGUGCGCCUGGGUCCGGGAGCAGUGCCCGGGGCCGGGGUCCCGCUGCACCAACGUCAUCGCGGGAGACUUCGUGGGCAAAGACGGCUUCGUCAGCGACGUCGUGGCACUGAACCGGAAGCUUCUGUGGUGCUGACGGGGACCCUUCCGAAGUCCGGGACGCGGCGGCUGCAGUAGAGACGAGAUUUCACGAUAUUGAACAGGGCGGUCUCGAACUCCUGACCUCAGGUGAUCCACGUGGCUCACCCUCCUGCUGGGAUUACAGGUGUGAGCCACCGCGCCCGAUGAGACGGGUUUUCACCGUGCUACCCCGGCUGGUCUCGAACUCCUGACCUCAGGUGAUCCACCCGCCUGGGCCUCCCAAAGUGCUGGGAUGACAGACGUGACCCACCGCGCCCGGCGACUCCCGUCUCUACUAAACAUACAAAAAAAUGAUCUGGGCGUGGUGCGGGCGCCUGUAAUCCCAGCUACUCGGGAGGCUGAGGCAGGAGGAUCGCUUGAACCCGGGAGGCGGAGGCUGCAGGGAGCCGAGAUCGCAUCACUGGACUCCAGCCUGGGCAGCAAGAGUCCUUUUAAAAAAUAAAAAACACACACAAACAAAGACGCACUCAUCGGCCGUACCCACGGCUUCGUCACCCCACGACUACGCCCCGUUACAGGCGAUUUCCCCGACGUCCGUCGGCUCCGAAUCCCCGUCCUGAAACGCUGGGGUCUCUAUCGGCGUCUCUUCCACACAACCAGGGGAUUCAUGGACCAUUUAAAUAAAUGAACGGGAUUAAACCCAAA
Callithrix jacchus (white-tufted-ear marmoset) is the source of this 4156-nucleotide non-coding RNA. Lineage: Eukaryota; Metazoa; Chordata; Mammalia; Primates; Cebidae. The record is from RefSeq and is a predicted model, not a curated record.